UUGCUUUAGCAGCACUUAUAUUAAAAUUAGAACAAUACAGAAAGAUUAGGAUGGUCCCUGUGCAAGGAUGACUUGCAGAUUUGUAAAGUGUUCCAUAUUUUU
Small nuclear RNA from Hippopotamus amphibius kiboko, 102 nucleotides. The record is from RefSeq and is a predicted model, not a curated record. NCBI's taxonomy places the organism in Eukaryota, Metazoa, Chordata, Mammalia, Artiodactyla, Hippopotamidae.